RNAcentral lists this ribosomal RNA (253 nucleotides) under uncultured bacterium. RNAcentral's name for it is "partial 16S ribosomal RNA". It matches the Rfam family "Bacterial small subunit ribosomal RNA", at positions 524 to 776 of the family's 1533-position model. The record is from RNAcentral.
UACAGAGGGUGCGAGCGUUGUCCGGAAUCACUGGGCGUAAAGGGCGCGUAGGUGGCCCGACAAGUCAAUGGUGAAAGUUCGACGCUUAACGUCGAAUCGGCCACUGAUACUGUUGGGCUGGAGCACUGUAGAGGCUCAUGGAAUUCCGGGUGUAGCGGUGGAAUGCGUAGAGAUCCGGAAGAACACCGGUGGCGAAGGCGGUGAGCUGGGCAGUUGCUGACACUGAGGCGCGACAGCGUGGGGAGCGAACAGG